GACGAACGCUGGCGGCGUGCCUAAUACAUGCAAGUAGAACGCUGAAGAGAGGAGCUUGCUCUUCUUGGAUGAGUUGCGAACGGGUGAGUAACGCGUAGGUAACCUGCCUUGUAGCGGGGGAUAACUAUUGGAAACGAUAGCUAAUACCGCAUAACAAUGGAUGACUCAUGUCAUUUAUUUGAAAGGGGCAAAUGCUCCACUACAAGAUGGACCUGCGUUGUAUUAGCUAGUAGGUGAGGUAACGGCUCACCUAGGCGACGAUACAUAGCCGACCUGAGAGGGUGAUCGGCCACACUGGGACUGAGACACGGCCCAGACUCCUACGGGAGGCAGCAGUAGGGAAUCUUCGGCAAUGGGGGCAACCCUGACCGAGCAACGCCGCGUGAGUGAAGAAGGUUUUCGGAUCGUAAAGCUCUGUUGUAAGUCAAGAACGAGUGUGAGAGUGGAAAGUUCACACUGUGACGGUAGCUUACCAGAAAGGGACGGCUAACUACGUGCCAGCAGCCGCGGUAAUACGUAGGUCCCGAGCGUUGUCCGGAUUUAUUGGGCGUAAAGCGAGCGCAGGCGGUUUGAUAAGUCUGAAGUUAAAGGCUGUGGCUCAACCAUAGUUCGCUUUGGAAACUGUCAAACUUGAGUGCAGAAGGGGAGAGUGGAAUUCCAUGUGUAGCGGUGAAAUGCGUAGAUAUAUGGAGGAACACCGGUGGCGAAAGCGGCUCUCUGGUCUGUAACUGACGCUGAGGCUCGAAAGCGUGGGGAGCGAACAGGAUUAGAUACCCUGGUAGUCCACGCCGUAAACGAUGAGUGCUAGGUGUUGGAUCCUUUCCGGGAUUCAGUGCCGCAGCUAACGCAUUAAGCACUCCGCCUGGGGAGUACGACCGC
Molecule: ribosomal RNA, 879 nt
Filed under: uncultured bacterium
Lineage: Bacteria
Description: bacterial SSU rRNA
Rfam family: Bacterial small subunit ribosomal RNA
Source: RNAcentral